AUAUCAAUAAGCGGAGGAAAAGAAACCAACAGGGAUUGCCCUAGUAACGGCGAGUGAAGCGGCAACAGCUCAAAUUUGAAAUCUGGCCCUCGGGUCCGAGUUGUAAUUUGUAGAGGAUGUUUUUGGUGCGGUGCCUUCCGAGUUCCCUGGAACGGGACGCCAUAGAGGGUGAGAGCCCCGUCUGGUUGGACGCCAAGCCUAUGUAAAACUCCUUCGACGAGUCGAGUAGUUUGGGAAUGCUGCUCUAAAUGGGAGGUAUAUGUCUUCUAAAGCUAAAUAUUGGCCAGAGACCGAUAGCGCACAAGUAGAGUGAUCGAAAGAUGAAAAGCACUUUGAAAAGAGAGUUAAAAAGCACGUGAAAUUGUUGAAAGGGAAGCGCUUAUGACCAGACUUGGACUUGGUUGAUCAUCCGGCGUUCUCGCCGGUGCACUCUUCCGGUUCAGGCCAGCAUCAGUUUGCUUCGGGGGAUAAAGGCUUUGGGAAUGUGGCUCCCUCGGGAGUGUUAUAGCCCAUUGUGUAAUACCCUGGAGCGGACUGAGGUACGCGUUCUGCAAGGAUGCUGGCGUAAUGGUCAUCAGUGACCCGUCUUGAAACACGGACCAAGGAGUCGUCUUCGUAUGCGAGUGUUCGGGUGUUAAACCCCUACGCGUAAUGAAAGUGAACGCAGGUGAGAGCUUCGGCGCAUCAUCGACCGAUCCUGAUGUUCUCGGAUGGAUUUGAGUAAGAGCAUACGGGGCCGGACCCGAAAGAAGGUGAACUAUGCCUGUGUAGGGUGAAGCCAGAGGAAACUCUGGUGGAGGCUCGCAGCGGUUCUGACGUGCAAAUCGAUCGUCAAACAUGGGCAUGGGGGCGAAAGACUAAUCGAACCUUCUAGUAGCUGGUUUCCGC
Molecule: ribosomal RNA, 888 nt
Filed under: Volutella consors
Lineage: Eukaryota; Fungi; Ascomycota; Sordariomycetes; Hypocreales; Nectriaceae
Description: eukaryotic LSU rRNA
Rfam family: Eukaryotic large subunit ribosomal RNA
Source: RNAcentral